UACAGAGGUCCCAAGCGUUGUUCGGAUUCACUGGGCGUAAAGGGUGCGUAGGCGGUCGGGUAAGUCUGGCGCGAAAUCUCCAAGCCUAACUUGGAAACUGCGUUGGAUACUAUCCGGCUCGAGGAAUGGAGGGGAGACUGGAAUACUUGGUGUAGCAGUGAAAUGCGUAGAUAUCAAGUGGAACACCAGUGGCGAAGGCGAGUCUCUGGACAUUUCCUGACGCUGAGGCACGAAAGCCAGGGGAGCAAACGGG
This 253-nucleotide ribosomal RNA is filed under the name uncultured bacterium. RNAcentral's name for it is "partial 16S ribosomal RNA". It matches the Rfam family "Bacterial small subunit ribosomal RNA", at positions 524 to 776 of the family's 1533-position model. The record is from RNAcentral.